RNAcentral lists this ribosomal RNA (427 nucleotides) under uncultured archaeon. RNAcentral describes it as "bacterial SSU rRNA". It matches the Rfam family "Archaeal small subunit ribosomal RNA", at positions 474 to 903 of the family's 1478-position model. The record is from RNAcentral.
AACCAGCACCUCAAGUGGUCAGGACGAUUAUUGGGCCUAAAGCAUCCGUAGCCGGCGCUAUAAGUUUUCGGUUAAAUCUGUACGCUCAACGUACAGGCUGCCGGGAAUACUGUAGCGCUAGGGAGUGGGAGAGGUAGACGGUACUCGGUAGGAAGGGGUAAAAUCCUUUGAUCUAUUGAUGACCACCUGUGGCGAAGGCGGUCUACCAGAACACGUCCGACGGUGAGGGAUGAAAGCUGGGGGAGCAAACCGGAUUAGAUACCCGGGUAGUCCCAGCUGUAAACUAUGCAAACUCAGUGAUGCAUUGGCUUGUGGCCAAUGCAGUGCUGCAGGGAAGCCGUUAAGUUUGCCGCCUGGGAAGUACGUACGCAAGUAUGAAACUUAAAGGAAUUGGCGGGGAGCACCACAAGGGUGAAGCCUGCGGUUC